This 138-nucleotide ribosomal RNA is filed under the name uncultured eukaryote. RNAcentral describes it as "partial 18S ribosomal RNA". It matches the Rfam family "Eukaryotic small subunit ribosomal RNA", at positions 1299 to 1458 of the family's 1831-position model. The record is from RNAcentral.
UGGUGGAGCGAUUUGUCUGGUUAAUUCCGAUAACGAACGAGACUCUAGUCUAUUAAAUAGACGAUCAGCCUUUCGAUGCUGUUCGGACUUCUUAGAGAGACAGGCGGCGGUUCAGCCGCACGAGGAAGAGCAAUAACA